GACGAACGCUGGCGGCGUGCUUAACACAUGCAAGUCGAACGGAAAGGCCCUGCUUGCAGGGUGCUCGAGUGGCGAACGGGUGAGUAACACGUGGGUGAUCUGCCCCUUACUUUGGGAUAAGCCUGGGAAACUGGGUCUAAUACUGGAUAGGACCAUGCUUUAGGUGGUGUGGUGGAAAGAUUAGUUUCGGUAAGGGAUGAGCUCGCGGCCUAUCAGCUUGUUGUUGGGGUAUUGGCCUACCAAGGCGUCGACGGGUAGCCGGCCUGAGAGGGUGGACGGCAACAUUGGGACUGCGAUACGGCCCAGACUCCUACGGGAGGCAGCAGUGGGGAAUAUUGCACAAUGGGCGCAAGCCUGAUGCAGCGACGCCGCGUGGGGGAUGACGGCCUUCGGGUUGUAAACUCCUUUCAGCCAUGACGAAGCCCUUGUGGUGACGGUAGUGGUAGAAGAAGCACCGGCUAACUACGUG
This 469-nucleotide ribosomal RNA is filed under the name uncultured bacterium. RNAcentral describes it as "partial 16S ribosomal RNA". It matches the Rfam family "Bacterial small subunit ribosomal RNA", at positions 28 to 507 of the family's 1533-position model. The record is from RNAcentral.